RNAcentral lists this ribosomal RNA (466 nucleotides) under uncultured bacterium. RNAcentral describes it as "partial 16S ribosomal RNA". It matches the Rfam family "Bacterial small subunit ribosomal RNA", at positions 28 to 505 of the family's 1533-position model. The record is from RNAcentral.
GACGAACGCUGGCGGCGUGCUUAACACAUGCAAGUCGAACGGAAAGGCCCUGCUUUUGUGGGGUGCUCGAGUGGCGAACGGGUGAGUAACACGUGAGUAACCUGCCCUUGACUUUGGGAUAACUUCAGGAAACUGGGGCUAAUACCGGAUAGGAGCUCCUGCUGCAUGGUGGGGGUUGGAAAGUUUCGGCGGUUGGGGAUGGACUCGCGGCUUAUCAGCUUGUUGGUGGGGUAGUGGCUUACCAAGGCUUUGACGGGUAGCCGGCCUGAGAGGGUGACCGGCCAAAUUGGGACUGAGAGACGGCCCAGACUCCUACGGGAGGCAGCAGUGGGGAAUAUUGCACAAUGGGCGGAAGCCUGAUGCAGCAACGCCGCGUGCGGGAUGACGGCCUUCGGGUUGUAAACCGCUUUCGCCUGUGACGAAGCGUGAGUGACGGUAAUGGGUAAAGAAGCACCGGCUAACUACG